UCGGGAAUAUUGCGCAAUGGAGGAAACUCUGACGCAGUGACGCCGCGUAUAGGAAGAAGGUUUUCGGAUUGUAAACUAUUGUCGUGAGGGAAGAAAUUUGACAGUACCUCAGGAGGAAGCUCCGGCUAACUAUGUGCCAGCAGCCGCGGUAAUACAUAGGGAGCAAGCGUUAUCCGGAUUUAUUGGGUGUAAAGGGUGCGUAGACGGAGAAGCAAGUUGGUUGUGAAAUCCCUCGGCUCAACUGAGGAACUGCAACCAAAACUACUUCCCUUGAGUGUCGGAGAGGAAAGUGGAAUUCCUAGUGUAGCGGUGAAAUGCGUAGAUAUUAGGAGGAACACCAGUGGCGAAGGCGACUUUCUGGACGAUAACUGACGUUGAGGCACGAAAGUGUGGGGAGCAAACAGG
RNAcentral lists this ribosomal RNA (405 nucleotides) under uncultured bacterium. RNAcentral describes it as "bacterial SSU rRNA". It matches the Rfam family "Bacterial small subunit ribosomal RNA", at positions 355 to 776 of the family's 1533-position model. The record is from RNAcentral.